RNAcentral lists this ribosomal RNA (378 nucleotides) under uncultured Latescibacterota bacterium. RNAcentral describes it as "bacterial SSU rRNA". It matches the Rfam family "Bacterial small subunit ribosomal RNA", at positions 1005 to 1382 of the family's 1533-position model. Lineage: Bacteria; Pseudomonadati; Candidatus Latescibacterota. The record is from RNAcentral.
AAGACGGUUUCCUCUUCGGAGGCACCUGCACAGGUGCUGCAUGGCUGUCGUCAGCUCGUGUCGUGAGAUGUUGGGUUAAGUCCCGCAACGAGCGCAACCCUUAUCCCUAGUUGCCAUCAGGUAAAGCUGGGAACUCUGGGGAGACUGCCGGUGAUAAACCGGAGGAAGGCGGGGAUGACGUCAAGUCCUCAUGGCCCUUACAUCCCGGGCUACACACGUGCUACAAUGGCAGGUACAGAGGGCUGCGAAGCCGCGAGGUGGAGCGAAUCCCAGAAAACCUGUCUCAGUCCGGAUUGAAGUCUGCAACUCGACUUCAUGAAGGCGGAAUCGCUAGUAACCGCGAAUCAGCAGGUCGCGGUGAAUACGUUCCCGGGCCUU